Molecule: long non-coding RNA, 520 nt
Filed under: Nicotiana benthamiana
Lineage: Eukaryota; Viridiplantae; Streptophyta; Magnoliopsida; Solanales; Solanaceae
Description: long non-coding RNA (NBEN_LNC027025)
Source: RNAcentral
GAAAACCCUAGGUACAAAACCCUAGGUGAAACCGCCGAAAUCCUUACUGGAAGUAUAGUUAGGGAUGUCGGAAAGUCACCCAAAACAUCCACUUAGUGAGAAUCGAGCCACCGGAUAGCAAUAAAACCCUAGGUUAAACCACCAGAAACCCUAGAAGCCGAUAGGUUACCCAAAAAUUACCCAAAAAUCAUUAGAAAAUCUCCCAGAACGUUCGAGUGAAGAAAAUACACUCAGAUAUCACGAUAAAAAACUCAGAAAGGCGUCCGAUUUAGAUCGGAAUCGUCAUCGACCACAAGGUCUCAGAAACACCCCCAAAAAUCUCAAAAGAGACUUCAACCAAGACAACGAGAUACAGAAAAACAUAGUCGGGUCGUCGUCGAGGCUCUGAUACCAUGUAAACAUUGAGACUAAACCGAAAAAUCAUGGAGAAUGUAGAGAGAGAAUCUAGAGAGAAGCAGGAGCGUCUGAGAGAAGUCUCUGCAAGCCAGAGAAUAUUAUUAAACAGAAAAGAAGAUGAAAU